UACGGAGGAUGCGAGCGUUAUCCGGAUUUAUUGGGUUUAAAGGGUGCGUAGGCGGGCUUUUAAGUCAGCGGUAAAAAUUCGGGGCUCAACCCCGGCCGGCCGUUGAAACUGGGGGCCUUGAGUGGGCGAGAAGAAGGCGGAAUGCGUGGUGUAGCGGUGAAAUGCAUAGAUAUCACGCAGAACCCCGAUUGCGAAGGCAGCCUUCCGGCGCCCUACUGACGCUGAGGCACGAAAGUGCGGGGAUCGAACAGG
Molecule: ribosomal RNA, 252 nt
Filed under: uncultured bacterium
Lineage: Bacteria
Description: partial 16S ribosomal RNA
Rfam family: Bacterial small subunit ribosomal RNA
Source: RNAcentral